GUGUUCUUAAAAAAGAAAAAAAUGUAUAUUUCUGUAGCCCUAUUUUUUAUGGAUGAUGAGGAGGAGGUUCAAAUUGUGCCACGGAGGCAUUUAAGAGAUGCUUCGAAUUUAUUUGAAGUACCUAACAACCAGUUUGGGUCUUCCAGUGGUCUUCAUGGGAUUGCCUGCUGCUUCCAAAAAUUGGCACUCCUCUGCCGAACUUAGGAUUCUCCCCCAUAUACUCAACUAGUGCCCGCAGCUGUGUAGUUUUUUCGUGCUGGAAUUGAGAAAAUAAAAAAAUGUAUAUUUGUUGUUCACAGAUUAAAUUGCAUUUAUUAUUUUUACUUA
Molecule: long non-coding RNA, 327 nt
Organism: Musca domestica (house fly)
Lineage: Eukaryota; Metazoa; Arthropoda; Insecta; Diptera; Muscidae
Exons: 2
Source: RefSeq, a predicted model, not a curated record